RNAcentral lists this ribosomal RNA (253 nucleotides) under uncultured bacterium. RNAcentral describes it as "partial 16S ribosomal RNA". It matches the Rfam family "Bacterial small subunit ribosomal RNA", at positions 524 to 776 of the family's 1533-position model. The record is from RNAcentral.
UACGUAGGGUGCAAGCGUUAAUCGGAAUUACUGGGCGUAAAGCGUGCGUAGGCGGUUUUGUAAGUUUGUCGUGAAAUCCCCGGGCUUAACCUGGGAAUUGCGAUGAAGACUGCAAGGCUAGAAUCUGGCAGAGGGGGGUAGAAUUCCACGUGUAGCAGUGAAAUGCGUAGAGAUGUGGAGGAACACCGAUGGCGAAGGCAGCCCCCUGGGUCAAGAUUGACGCUCAUGCACGAAAGCGUGGGGAGCAAGACGG